RNAcentral lists this ribosomal RNA (331 nucleotides) under Chihuahuanus coahuilae. RNAcentral describes it as "partial 12S ribosomal RNA". Lineage: Eukaryota; Metazoa; Arthropoda; Arachnida; Scorpiones; Vaejovidae. The record is from RNAcentral.
UAAAAUUUAUAAAAUUAGGUAGUAAAGAAUUUUCUGAAACCUAAAGAAUUUGGCGGUAUUUUAAAUAAUUGGAGGAACCUGUUAUUUAGUUGACAACCCACAACAAAUCUUACCUAAAUUUUAUUUGUAUAUCGUCGUUUUUGAUAAUGUUUAAAAAUUAUAAUCAAUAAAAAUAAACUUUUUAAAAUCAGAUCAAGGUGCAGUAUAUUUAGGGUAUAAUGGGUUACAAUAUAAUUAUAUACAACGGAUUUAAAAUUGAAAUCAUAUUGAAGGUGGAUUCAAAAGUAAUAUUAAAUUAAAAUGUUAAUUUGAUUAAAAAUUUAAAAUAUGC